GAUAGUUUAACGGCCGCGGUAUUUUAACCGUGCGAAGGUAGCGUAAUCACUUGUCUUUUAAAUGGAGACCAGUAUGAAUGGCAUCACGAGGGCUUAACUGUCUCCCCUAUCCAGUCAAUGAAAUUGACUUUCCCGUGCAGAGGCGGGAAUAAUAAUAUAAGACGAGAAGACCCUGUGGAGCUUUAGACUUAAAAUAAAUUGCACCUCCAUGUCAUAACCCCGACAAAAUCCAGCAAUUACACAUUUGAAUGUCUUUGGUUGGGGCGACCGCGGGGUAAAAUACAACCCCCAUGUAGAUAGGGGGCAUUGCCCCUAACACUCAGAGCCUCUUCUCCAAGUAACAGAAAAUCUGACUUCCUGAUCCGGCAUGCCCGAUCAACGAACCCAGUUACCCCAGGGAUAACRGCGCAUCCCCUCCCAGAGCCCUUAUCGACAAGGGGGUUUACGACCUCGAUGUUGGAUCAGGACAUCCUAAU
Molecule: ribosomal RNA, 476 nt
Filed under: Pseudophycis breviuscula
Lineage: Eukaryota; Metazoa; Chordata; Actinopteri; Gadiformes; Moridae
Description: partial small subunit ribosomal RNA
Rfam family: Bacterial large subunit ribosomal RNA
Source: RNAcentral